GCAGGAGCGGCUCCUGGGAGGACAUUGGCAGGGAGCUGCGCCGGCGGCGGAGGUCAGAAGAGGGUCUGAAAACCAACGAGAGACAUGGCAGCGCACAGCAGCGUGUGGAUAUUGGCGGGAUUUUUUUCCGUUGUCCUUGUGGCAGCCGGUGACCCUGUCAGAAUUGAAGCGGAUGAAGGUGAAGACGUGCUCCUGCCCUGCAUUGUUGAACGUAGAGCCGCCGACCGUCGUCCAAACCCUACAGUGAACUGGCAGCGGUCAGGGAGUGAAGUCGUGAAAAGCUACUUCAAUGGCAAGAACCACCCGGUGUAUCAGU
Molecule: long non-coding RNA, 316 nt
Organism: Mauremys mutica (yellowpond turtle)
Lineage: Eukaryota; Metazoa; Chordata; Testudines; Geoemydidae
Exons: 3
Source: RefSeq, a predicted model, not a curated record